Ixodes scapularis (black-legged tick) is the source of this 1141-nucleotide long non-coding RNA. RefSeq lists it as uncharacterized. The record is from RefSeq and is a predicted model, not a curated record. The transcript is spliced from 4 exons. Lineage: Eukaryota; Metazoa; Arthropoda; Arachnida; Ixodida; Ixodidae.
UCGUAUGGAAAUUCUUCGGCGGACGGCAGAUAUCAGGUUCACCCCGUGCGACGCCGCUCCUACGCGCGACGCCGACGCCUCGAACGCGCCGCAAACGUAGACGACGGCAUUCCACGGCGCUGCGAAGCCAGCGAAGCGUCUUCGGCAUCGACACCGGACUCCGGACUCAAAAGAGAAGAACGCACUCGGCGACGGAACUCCGCGGCUCCGCAACACGGACUGAUAGGUGCCAGUGCGGUUGCUGCAUGCCGAUGGAGAUCGUCGUCAGGUUGUCUGCCGCCGGGUGUACACUGCCGCCGUACGCAAGCAGCAGGGCCGGCGCGCUGCGUGACGAACCACUUGGAUUUCGACUCGCUGUGCCCCAGCCGGGGUGUGCUAUGACUAGCUUUCCAUAAUAGACGCCACUAUGGGCAGAAGAAAAUGCGGGGCGACAAGGAACAACUGCGAGCCGCGGAUGAGGACCCCUCCAGCGACACGGAGUCGGAGUUGGGCUCCGGUCCGUCUUCGGUUGAGAUCCUGGCCCUCAAUGACCCUGCAGUGACCGUAUGUCUACCGCCCUCGAGUUGGUGAUGGAGCAUUUAGCAGCCGUCACGGGCGGGACCGGCGGCCAGCGGCAGUGCGAGCCAGAGGAGCUCGACGACCGCAAGUUCGUCGCCGACUUCGUGGCGGUGCUGGGCGUAUACGCAAGAGCGUCGAGCGCCUCGGACGCGUAGCGCCUCGGAUGCCUACGUGCUGAAGCGGAUCUUCCCCUUGCCUUGCCGGCGAGCGCGAGACGAUGGUCCUUCCCACUCAGGACGAAGAUGCAUUGGUGCGAAUAACUGGCAUUGUGGCCGACUGAUGUUGGGGAGCUCCGUCUACAGGUGUGCGAGAAGCUUGCAGAACAAAGGGUAGGCCGCACCUAGAGCAACGAUUGGUACGACUCAUAUUUGCUGAGAGAGAAUGGACUUCUUCUCAGCUACAUUUUUCAAGCAGACGAUGCCGCCCAUGGCUCACCUUUCAGGAUUGUGAAACUUCGAACGCCGUUCAUCAGUCACUUCCAUGAUUCAGCCUCAUCAGGCCACAGCAGCAGCAGUAUUACUUGCAAUAAGUUACGUCAUGUCGAGACUUGAUCAGGAAUCAUUCAGGAUAUACGAAGUAUGCC